AUUGAACGCUGGCGGCAGGCUUAACACAUGCAAGUCGAGCGGGGUGAUGGUGCUUGCACUAUCACUUAGCGGCGGACGGGUGAGUAAUGCUUAGGAAUCUGCCUAUUAGUGGGGGACAACAUCUCGAAAGGGAUGCUAAUACCGCAUACGUCCUACGGGAGAAAGCAGGGGAUCACUUGUGACCUUGCGCUAAUAGAUGAGCCUAAGUCGGAUUAGCUAGUUGGUGGGGUAAAGGCCUACCAAGGCGACGAUCUGUAGCGGGUCUGAGAGGAUGACCCGCCGCAGGUGGAAUGAGACACGGCGCAGGCUCCUACGGGAGGCAUCAGUGGGGAACAUUGGACAAUGGGGGGAACCCUGAUCCAGCCAUGCCGCGUGUGUGAAGAAGGCCUUAUGGUUGUAAAGCACUUUAAGCGAGGAGGGGGCUCUUUUGGUUAAUACCCAAGAUGAGUGGACGUUACUCGCAGAAUAAGCACCGGCUAACUCUGUGCCAGCCGCCGCCGUAA
Molecule: ribosomal RNA, 503 nt
Filed under: uncultured bacterium
Lineage: Bacteria
Description: partial 16S ribosomal RNA
Rfam family: Bacterial small subunit ribosomal RNA
Source: RNAcentral